RNAcentral lists this long non-coding RNA (665 nucleotides) under Calidris pugnax (ruff). RNAcentral describes it as "lncRNA (ENSCPUG00000009915.1)". The record is from RNAcentral. Lineage: Eukaryota; Metazoa; Chordata; Aves; Charadriiformes; Scolopacidae.
AAACCCCUCUGAUCUGCUGUUAAGACUUCCUGUGCUCAAAAUGACUUACCAGCAGACUUGUUUCUACCUGCUCCAGAACUGUAAAGGAUAGGUAUUCUCAAAAUCCUCCUGAGCUCUGUGCCUGUGGCUGUACACUCCAGUCAAUCUGUACGUCUGACAUCUUGAUAAAGACUUGAAGAAAACUCCAGUUUCACUUCAAUUGCCUCCUUGUCAUGGGAAGGAGCUGAAUGGGAGGUCAGAGGGAGUCAGCGUGGUAAACCGUCCUAGAAAAGGACUUUCAAGAUUUCUUACAAGAGAAGCCUUUGAUUCAAAGCAAAACUUUGUGCCUUUCUCAAACAUUUGUGCACACCAAGGAACAGGUCUCCCAUCCUUGUUUCAGCAAGAUGGGCUGUCAUGGUUUAACCCCAGCCAGAAAAUGAAUGAAGAGCAUCUUUGUACAGCGGUGAGAAGUCUGUAGCUGGAUAAAAAUGAGGAGUUUCCAGUUGAGGCACUCGAUGCUGGUAUGUCUGGAAUCCCUCCACUCCCUCUGCACAGUGAAUGCCAGAGCUCUCAAGGUUUGAAGGACAAAUAAUUUUACUCCGCACCCUUUUCUGUAACCUGGCAAAUACAGUGCAUCCAUUGUGCUUGCUAAGGGAUCCAGGCUAACAACACUGUGUUUGUUUCUG